GCCAGCAGCCAUAUCACCCUGCACCUCACAACUGGCAACCCACUGAAGCUAAGUGGGUGUGAGCCUGGUUAGUACCUGGAUGGGAGUCCUCCUGGGAAAACUUUCCCAACAAAGGUUGCUGCGGGAA
This 127-nucleotide ribosomal RNA is filed under the name Lepisosteus oculatus (spotted gar). Lineage: Eukaryota; Metazoa; Chordata; Actinopteri; Semionotiformes; Lepisosteidae. The record is from RNAcentral.